This 2341-nucleotide long non-coding RNA is filed under the name Mus musculus (house mouse). Its description in RNAcentral is "long non-coding RNA chr9:65988796-65991137". Lineage: Eukaryota; Metazoa; Chordata; Mammalia; Rodentia; Muridae. The record is from RNAcentral.
GCUGCACGUGCCGUGUAGACCAGGCUGGCCUGGAGUGUACACACAGUCAGCUUGCCAAGAUUACAGGCGUGUACCGCCAUAUCUGGCCAAAAUGUUCAUUUUUAAAACAAUAUUUAGAGCUUUUCCACUGAAAUCUUAGCUGUGUGUCUGUAACAAAUAUUUUUCUUAAGCAUUUGCAUUAAUAAUCUAUCAUGCUAAUUAUCAGUGUUUUCCACUGUCAUCAGGGCUCAUAUACUUAUAGGCGUGUAUGGUAGUGAAAAACUAGGUUUGGAUCCUGUCAAGGUAAUAUGACACAGAGUUCAUCCCACCACGCCUAACUAAGGCUGUGAAUUCAGAUCACCGGUAAGUAAAGGGCAUGUAGCAGAAAGGCCGACGACUAAAGCUUACAGGCCGAAGUCAGGGUUUAGGACUUGACUGAUCUACUCAACCUGAGCAAGUUACUUUAGAUCAGCUCUCUAUUAAAUAAAAUAAAAUAAAAUAAAAAUACCCUUACAUAAUUGAUAGGAUUAAUUGAAAGUCUAUAUAAACUAUAAAGCAUUAUUUAUACUAGUCUUAUAUAAUACUGUGAAUAACAUUUCCUAAGUGUGACAUUAAACAAAUAGUUCAAGAAGGAGUCUCCUGAUUUUGAAUUAUCAGUGAUACAUUGAAUAAAAAGACAAAAGGACACUUUUUUAAAUCUUUAAUCCUUUUUUUUAAACUGCUGAAUUAGAUCAGCCUGUAUAUAUUUUUUUAAGAUUUAUUUAUUUAUUUUAUGUAUAUUAGUACACUGUAGCUGUCUUCAGACAUACCAGAAGAGGGCAUCAGAUCUCAUUACAGAUGGUUGUGAGCCACCAUGUGGUUGCUGGGAAUUGAACUCAGAACCUCUGGAAGAACAGUCAGUGCUCUUAACCUCUGAGCCAUCUCUCCAGCCCCUCUUUAAUCCUUUUUUACAGUCUGGUCAUUAUCCCCUUCCCAGUCCACCCUCCGACAGUUCCUCAUCCCAUUCCUCUGCCUCACCCCCACAACCCCAUAUCCAAGAGGAUGUCUUCCCCCCCCCCCCCCGCCCCCGCCCCAUCCUGCCAGACCUCACCAUUCCAUCAAGUCUCUUGGGCUAGGUGCAUCUUCUCUCACUUAGGCCAGACCAGACAGUCCUCUGUUGUAUAUGUGUCGGGAGCUGUGGACCAACUAGUGUAUGCUGCCUGGUUAGUGGCUCAGUAUCUGAGAGAUCUCGGGGGUCCAAGUUAGUUGAGACUGCUGGUCUUCCUGUGGGGUCACUCUCCUCCACAACUUCUCCCAGCCUUUCCCUAAUUCAACGACAGGGGUCCCUGGCUUUUGUCCAGUGUUUUCGUGUGAGUAUCUGUGUCUGUCUCAGUCAGUUGCUGGUUGGGCCUCUCAGAGCACUGCCAUGCUAGGCUCCUGUCUGUAAGCACACAUAGCAUUAGUAAUAUUGUCAGGCCUUGGAGCCUCCUCUUGAGAUGGAUCCCAAGUUGGGCAGGUCACUGGAUCUCCUUUCCCUCAGUUUCUUCUCCAUUUUUGUCCCUGCAGUUCUUUUAGAUAGGAACAAUUCUCCCAUGGUUGGGAACAAAAGACUCUUUCACACACUUAUGACUGGGUAUAAAAAGUGGUAAUGCAAGCAUUUGGAUAGGAGGUACCCCUCAGCUUAGAUCCCCAAGCAAUGGCACCAUGGUAUUAACUGUUGAAUGCAGGUCCAGGACGAGAGACAGAAUAGAGAGGAUUUAGUGCCCCAGCAGCUUUGCUUACAUACUGUUAAGAUUUGGAUCUGAAGUGUCCCACCAAGGCUUGUGUUUUAAAGCCUUUGACGCCAGCUUGUGGUGCUGUUGGGAGAGUGGCAGAACCUUGUGAGGAAGCACAUUUGAAAGAUGUUAAUGGGACACUUGCUUUUGGCCUGUUAUCACUUUCUGCCUGUAGUAAUGUGAGCAGCAUGCUUCUGUGGUGAUGUUCUGCCAAGCUUGCCACAACCCCAGACACACUGGGCCUAGUGACUGUGGAGUGGAACCUCUAAAACAAAGGGAGCAUUUCCCCCUUUUAAUUUGUUUUUCUCAGACAUUUUUUAACAAUGACUUGAAGCUGACACAUGUGCAAAAUGUUAAAGUACGUAUAUUCCUUGACUCAUUAUUUCAUCUUCAAAGAAUUUACAUUCAAGGCUUGUUUACAUAAAUGCCCCAAAAUGAAUGUUGGACCAUAACUCAGUAAGGAAAGUACUAGCCUAGCAUAGAUUCUCCAGUACCUCAUAAAUACCACAGAGAGUGGGGGGAGGGAUUUAUAUUUUCCAGUAUUGUUAAAUGUUUGCCUGGAUUCUUUCAUUUUCAAAGGCUAGAGCUAGAAAUUCCUUUUCAAAGUC